UACGUAGGGGGCAAGCGUUGUCCGGAUUUAUUGGGCGUAAAGAGCGUGUAGGCGGCCAUGCAGGUCCGCUGUGAAAACUCGAGGCUCAACCUCGAGACGUCGGUGGAAACCGCAUGGCUAGAGUCCGGAAGAGGAGAGUGGAAUUCCCGGUGUAGCGGUGAAAUGCGUAGAUAUCGUAAGGAAGACCAGUGGCGAAGGCGGGUCUCUGGACAGUUCCUGACGCUGAGGCACGAAGGUCAGGGGAGCAAACGGG
RNAcentral lists this ribosomal RNA (253 nucleotides) under uncultured bacterium. RNAcentral describes it as "partial 16S ribosomal RNA". It matches the Rfam family "Bacterial small subunit ribosomal RNA", at positions 524 to 776 of the family's 1533-position model. The record is from RNAcentral.